RNAcentral lists this ribosomal RNA (1473 nucleotides) under uncultured prokaryote. RNAcentral describes it as "partial 16S ribosomal RNA". It matches the Rfam family "Bacterial small subunit ribosomal RNA". The record is from RNAcentral.
AGAGUUUGAUCCUGGCUCAGGACGAACGCUGGCGGCACGCUUAACACAUGCAAGUCGAACGAAGUUCUUCGGAACUUAGUGGCAAACGGGUGAGUAACACGUGGGAACUUACCUUUCAGCCGGGGACAACUACUGGAAACGGUGGCUAAUACCCGAUACUACGGGGGAAAGAUUUAUCGCUGAGAGAGAGGCCCGCGUCAGAUUAGGUAGUUGGGGAGGUAAAAGCUCCCCAAGCCGAUGAUCUGUAGCUGGUUUGAGAGGACGAUCAGCCACACUGGAACUGAGACACGGUCCAGACUCCUACGGGAGGCAGCAGUGGGGAAUAUUGCGCAAUGGAGGAAACUCUGACGCAGCCAUGCCGCGUGAGUGAAGAAGGCCUUCGGGUUGUAAAGCUCUUUUACCUGUGAUGAUAAUGACAGUAGCAGGAGAAAAAGCUCCGGCUAACUUCGUGCCAGCAGCCGCGGUAAUACGAAGGGAGCGAGCGUUGUUCGGAAUUACUGGGCGUAAAGCGUGCGUAGGCGGUUUAGUAAGUUAGAAGUGAAAGCCCUGGGCUCAACCUAGGAAUUGCUUUUAAAACUACUAAACUAGAAUCUCGGAGGGGAUGGUGGAAUUUCCAGUGUAGAGGUGAAAUUCGUAGAUAUUGGAAGGAACACCAGUGGCGAAGGCGACCAUCUGGACGAGUAUUGACGCUGAGGCACGAAAGCGUGGGGAGCAAACAGGAUUAGAUACCCUGGUAGUCCACGCCGUAAACGAUGUAAACUAGCCGUUGGGACCUUAGGUUUUUCAGUGGCGCAGCUAACGCACUAAGUUUACCGCCUGGGGAGUACGGCCGCAAGGUUAAAACUCAAAGGAAUUGACGGGGACCCGCACAAGCGGUGGAGCAUGUGGUUUAAUUCGAUGCAACGCGCAGAACCUACCCACACUUAACUAUCCUCUUGGGGCUUUCAGAGAUGAUCGCUUUCGGUUCGGCCGGGGAGUGAAUAGGUGCUGCAUGGCUGUCGUCAGCUCGUGUCGUGAGAUGUUAGGUUAAGUCCUGCAACGAGCGCAACCCUUAUCGUAUGUUGCCAUCAGGUUAUGCUGGGAACUCAUGCGAGACUGCCGGUGACAAGCCGGAGGAAGGCGGGGACGACGUCAAGUCAUCAUGGCCCUUACGUGUGGGGCUACAAACGUGCUACAAUGGUAACGACAAUGGGCAGCCACUUCGCAAGAAGGCGCUAAUCUCCAAACGUUAUCUCAGUUCGGAUUGUUCUCUGCAACUCGAGAGCAUGAAGUUGGAAUCGCUAGUAAUCGUGCAUCAGCAUGUCACGGUGAAUACGUUCCCGGGUCUUGUACACACCGCCCGUCACGUCAUGGGAGUUGGUUCUACCCGACGGCCGUGCGCUAACCUAUGGAGGCAGCCGACCACGGUAGGGUCAGUGACUGGGACGAAGUCGUAACAAGGUAGCCGUAGGGGAACCUGCGGCUGGAUCACCU